Molecule: ribosomal RNA, 253 nt
Filed under: uncultured bacterium
Lineage: Bacteria
Description: partial 16S ribosomal RNA
Rfam family: Bacterial small subunit ribosomal RNA
Source: RNAcentral
UACGAAGGGUGCAAACGUUGCUCGGAAUUAUUGGGCGUAAAGAGCUCGUAGGCGGUUUGUCGCGUCGAAUGUGAAAACCCGGGGCUCAACCCCGGGCCUGCAUUCGAUACGGGCAGACUAGAGUUCGGUAGGGGAGUCUGGAAUUCCUGGUGUAGCGGUGAAAUGCGCAGAUAUCAGGAGGAACACCGGUGGCGAAGGCGGGACUCUGGGCCGACACUGACGCUGAGGCGCGAAAGCCAGGGGAGCGAACGGG